This 2504-nucleotide ribosomal RNA is filed under the name Triticum aestivum (bread wheat). RNAcentral describes it as "partial small subunit ribosomal RNA". Lineage: Eukaryota; Viridiplantae; Streptophyta; Magnoliopsida; Poales; Poaceae. The record is from RNAcentral.
UCUCUUCUUCCGCAUAAGGCGUAAAUGCACAAGCGGCCUUGCCGAGAAGAAAUAGGAGAGCGGCCCGUUGGCUGCGGCAGGUGAGGCCGAAGCGGUCAAGCGGAGGAGGCGGCAGCGGUACCGGCUGCGAUUUAGGGUUCCGGCUCGUCGCUGAUGGCGAGAGUCAAGGUGAGGGUGAGGGUGUACCCGCCUUGCCUGGCUCCGGGAUUGCGUGUAGGACUGGGUGGGGAGGGUGAGCGGCAGCGAGGUGAGCGUCGAGAAGGAGCGCAGGGCGCAGGGCACGGGUGGAGCCCCGAGGAGGAUGGGCGGGAAGGAGACGGGGCCGCGCAGCGAGGACGCCACCCGUGAGUGGAGGCAGAAGGACGGGGCGCGCCGGGCGGAACCGGACGGCGGAAGCAGGACCGCGAGGGCCACGGGGAAAGUCGAGGGCGGCGGCGAGCACGGGAGGCGGCCGUAGCUCUGCCGUGGCCUCGCCACCUCGCUCCGGCUCGAGGCCCCCAUGCGCGUCGCCGCCGCCCGAGCCUCCCCCGGGUACUCCUGCGCCGGCGGCCACAGGUACCGCCCCCACCACGACUGCUGGCACGGGUUGUAGCACUAGUAGCACCAGUAGUACGCCCUCGAGAAGACCCAGGCCGGACCGGCAAAGACUCGGUAAGUCCACGUCCUAGUGCUCCGUGUACCUAGAGUAGAAGAGGUAGUUCGUAUACCCAGUAUGAUACGUAAAAUCCCACGCAGCGCAGCGACCGAGGAUGAUAGGACAGUAGUGUCAUCGACCGCAAGGACUCAAACUAGCGAACGGUAUCAGUUACGCGAAUGUACAGUUCCCUUCGACGGAACACAAGGUGGUGGCCUUCUAACCAUGUAGGUCGGGUCAUCGCCAGCAACCGGGUCAGUCAAUCAUAACGAGAUAGGAGUUAAGGAGUAGUCAAUAAAGAACAAGUUGUAAAAUGGGCGUUAUAUGCUCGAGGUUUUUCCUACUUCACUCCCCUUCCAAAUGUUCCUAUCUCACAGGUUCCUCGUUUCUCCAGGGUUCCUGGGUUAUACAGAGUCAGAAAGAACGUGAACAACACAGUAACCAUUCGAGUCUAGCCCUCGACAACAAGAAACCGUGCAAAUCUAUGUCACAAGACGUGUACCACGAACGAAAAGCGGAAAGGCAAUCUGUCGUCGUCCAAGAAGGUCGUUAUUUGAACCACUUUGUGGUAGUGUCACGUCUUUGUUAAGUAGUACGUGUAAAGUACGUUAAUAGGACUAACUAUCCCAUCAACACGAGUAUCCGUCGUUCUCAGGUCAGGUGUCGAUAGUGACUUUCAUCUAGUUUGACCAACCUACAACUUACGACAAGUAGUUUCAGUGCUGAGACACAACCUGCAGACGAUCCGUGGGAGACAUGAAGACGACAAGUUACUACGUAUGUGUACAACCCUUGACUGUUUACCGUUGGGUGGAGACCAAGGACCAGGUCAGUUUAGACGUCAUGGACACGAAAUUAAAACACAGCUUGACGACACCAUGUACAAGUCGCACGUAUGAGACGAACGUAGAGGACAAUGUUCCUACAACGUCUACAAGGAACCCUACUCCAACGUCCUUACAAGGUGACCUACGAACGACGACGGUAGAAAGCAUCUACGUAACGGCCUCAUAAGGUAAGGGUAGUCGCAGUUCACACCACCAGGCGGUACGUCUAGUAGAGGUUUUUACGCUAUAACUAACAACUAGACAGUUCCACCUCACGACGGUUGACACUCGACAAGGACUGCCACAGUGAUCUGGUUCUGCUCGACAUAACCAAAGAUCUCACGUCGGUGUCGCAUUUUGUGUCCCAAAGACAGUAUUAGAACGUGUAACUCCUCUUUGGACGGUGGCCACAACAGACAGCUGUACUCGGUCGACGUCUCGAAAAUAGGGUACCUCGUACCAAUUCGUGAUCUAACCCGUCCAACCAUAACCGACUCAACCACUUCCACAGCUUGGCUGACGGGACCAUUCGUGUCAGAGACCACAGAUAGCAUCCUCCGUGUCUACUUAGACCCUAAGGUUUCGAGUCUCACACGACUUCCUCGGUGGGUUUGACACGAAGUUGACCGUAAGUGUACGACAUCCACCACAUAGUUUGCUACCGGAACAGUUUGGUCUCCCACUGUUCGCUCGGUUCCAACACAACGCGACUACCUCGUGAAAUCCUACUCGUAGAAUGCUCCUCCUACCUCUUAAGCCCCCGACGGUAACGAGAAACGAAACGUCGUCGAGAACGAACUCCGUCAUUUGGAAGGUGUAAUAGUCCUCGUAUCAACUAAAUCUGGUAGUUCAAUUAGAGAACGGAUUAUAUGAUAGGUCUUCUGAAACGGCUGAAAGGCGUUUGUGCCGUUCUUGUUUAGGAGUUCAUGUUAGUUCCGAGGGCUGACCCUACCCUACCUCUAUGAGUCAGACGAAAACUAACCCUACCUCUAGGUGGGUUAAAGUAAGAAGGGAUACAUUAUUUACUACAUUGAGAAAACUGA